ACUAUGUAAAUUUUAUUUGUAAUUUGUCGAAAAUCUGGGGUUUUCAGAGGCAGACAUGCUUCAUAGUAUUGGUCCAACAAAGUUAAGUCUGGCAUGUCCCAUUAAAAAACAAAAUCCUGAAAAUGACUCCUUAACCCCAACAAGUCAGGCUGCUAACCAUCUUUCUUCGCAGACUUGGACUCGUCAAACUCCAACAGCGGCUUUACUUCUCCA
Molecule: unclassified non-coding RNA, 213 nt
Filed under: Hevea brasiliensis (rubber tree)
Lineage: Eukaryota; Viridiplantae; Streptophyta; Magnoliopsida; Malpighiales; Euphorbiaceae
Source: RNAcentral